RNAcentral lists this ribosomal RNA (432 nucleotides) under uncultured bacterium. RNAcentral describes it as "partial 16S ribosomal RNA". It matches the Rfam family "Bacterial small subunit ribosomal RNA", at positions 29 to 507 of the family's 1533-position model. The record is from RNAcentral.
AGCGAACGCUGGCGGCAGGCCUAACACAUGCCAGUCGAACGAACUCUUCGGAGUUAGUGGCGGACGGGUGAGUAACACGUGGGAACGUGCCUUUUGGUUCGGAAUAACUCAGGGAAACUUGUGCUAAUACCGAAUGUGCCCUUCGGGGGAAAGAUUUAUCGCCAUUAGAGCGGCCCGCGUCUGAUUAGCUAGUUGGUGAGGUAACGGCUCACCAAGGCGACGAUCAGUAGCUGGUCUGAGAGGAUGACCAGCCACACUGGGACUGGGACCCGGCCCGAACCCCUCGGGAGGGGAGAAGGGGGGAAUCUGGGGCAAUGGGCGAAAGCCGAAGGCAGCCAGGCCGGGGAAAUGAUGAAGUAUUUAGGAUUGUAAAUUUUUUUCACCGGGGAGGAAAAGACGGGACCCAGGGAGAAAAGCCCCGCCAACUUUGUG